RNAcentral lists this ribosomal RNA (503 nucleotides) under Candidozyma auris. RNAcentral describes it as "eukaryotic LSU rRNA". It matches the Rfam family "Eukaryotic large subunit ribosomal RNA", at positions 98 to 668 of the family's 3401-position model. Lineage: Eukaryota; Fungi; Ascomycota; Pichiomycetes; Serinales; Metschnikowiaceae. The record is from RNAcentral.
GCGGCAAGAGCUCAACUUUGGAAUCGCUCCGGCGAGUUGUAGUCUGGAGGUGGCCACCACGAGGUGUUCUAGCAGCAGGCAAGUCCUUUGGAACAAGGCGCCAGCGAGGGUGACAGCCCCGUACCUGCUUUUGCUAGUGCUUCCUGUGGCCCACCGACGAGUCGAGUUGUUUGGGAAUGCAGCUCUAAGUGGGUGGUAAAUUCCAUCUAAGGCUAAAUAUUGGCGAGAGACCGAUAGCGAACAAGUACAGUGAUGGAAAGAUGAAAAGCACUUUGAAAAGAGAGUGAAACAGUACGUGAAAUUGUUGAAAGGGAAGGGCUUGCACCCAGACACGGUUUCGGCCGGGCCAGCAUCAAGUAGAACGGGGUUAAAAGACCUGGGGAAUGUAGCUACCUCUUGGUAGUGUUAUAGCCCUUGGGUGAUGACCCCUGUUUUGCUUGAGGACAGCGGUCUCUAGGAUGCUGGCGCAAUGGUUGCAAGCCACCCGUCUUGAACACGGACCA